GAUGAAGAACGUAGCGAAAUGCGAUAAGUAGUGUGAAUUGCAGAAUUCCGUGAAUCAUCGAAUCUUUGAACGCACAUUGCGCCUUCUGGUAUUCCGGAAGGCAUGCCUGUUCGAGAGUCAUUAACAACCGUUUCGAUCCCUUUCUUUCAGAAAUUACAAAGAGGAAAAGGGUUUGGUUAUGGUGGAGGAGGGAAAGGGAGCGUUUAGCCUGUAAAAAAAGAGGCUGUGUUCCGCCUCCCCCCCAAAAUUGUACAGGCGGUCGUGUGCGCCCACGCAUCGAGGUGUUGUAAAAGCUGCCACGGCACUUUUCACCUGUGCAGUGCGAGAUUGGCCAGCCGGUUUAAAAACCCCUCCAAACAAUCAAAGGUUGACCUCGGAUCAGGUAGGAAUACCCGCUGAACUUAAGCAUAUCAAUAAGCGGAGGA
This 425-nucleotide unclassified non-coding RNA is filed under the name soil metagenome. RNAcentral describes it as "partial contains 5.8S ribosomal RNA, internal transcribed spacer 2, and large subunit ribosomal RNA". The stretch from base 1 to 120 matches the Rfam family "5.8S ribosomal RNA", at positions 35 to 154 of the family's 154-position model. The record is from RNAcentral.